UUCGCAAUGCCCGAAAGGGUGACGAAGCGACGCCGCGUGUGGGAAGAAGGCCUUCGGGUUGUAAACCACUGUCGGGAGUUAAGAAAUGCAAGGAUAUUAAUAGUGUCUUUGUUUGACUAAGGCUCCGGAGGAAGCCACGGCUAACUCUGUGCCAGCAGCCGCGGUAAUACAGAGGCGGCAAGCGUUGUUCGGAAUUAUUGGGCGUAAAGAGCACGUAGGCGGCUAUGUAAGUCGGUUGUGAAAGCCUUCCGCUCAACGGAAGAACAGCAUCCGAUACUACAUGGCUUGAGUGCGGAAGGGGAGAGUGGAACUUCUGGUGGAGCGGUGAAAUGCGUAGAUAUCAGAAGGAACGCCGGCGGCGAAAGCGGCUCUCUGGCCCAUAACUGACGCUGAGUGUGCGAAAGCUAGGGGAACAAACGGGAUUAGAUACCCCGGUAGUCCUAGCCGUAAACGAUGGGCACUAAGUAGAGGGGUUUU
RNAcentral lists this ribosomal RNA (477 nucleotides) under uncultured bacterium. Its description in RNAcentral is "bacterial SSU rRNA". It matches the Rfam family "Bacterial small subunit ribosomal RNA", at positions 365 to 832 of the family's 1533-position model. The record is from RNAcentral.